UAACACAUGCAAGUCGAACGAAGUAGCAAUACUUAGUGGCAGACGGGUGAGUAACAUGGGGGUAUCUACCCUUUGGCCUGGAAUAACACGAGGAAACUUGUGCUAAUACCGGAUAAGUCUUUACGGAGAAAGCUUUAUGCACCAAUGGAUGAGCCCGCACUUGAUUAGUUUGUUGGUGGGGUAAUAGCCUACCAAGACUAUGAUCAAUAGCUGAUUUGAGAGGAUGAUCAGCCACAUUGGGACUGAGACACGGCCCAAACUCCUACGGGAGGCAGCAGUGGGGAAUCUUGCACAAUGGAGGAAACUCUGAUGCAGCGAUGCCGCGUGAGUGAAGAAGGCCUUUGGGUUGUAAAGCUCUUUCGUCGGGGAAGAAAAUGACUGUACCCGAAUAAGAAGGUCCGGCUAACUUCGUGCCAGCAGCCGCGGUAAUACGAAGGGACCUAGCGUAGUUCGGAAUUACUGGGCUUAAAGAGUUCGUAGGUGGUUGAAAAAGUUGGUGGUGAAAUCCCAGAGCUUAACUCUGGAACUGCCAUCAAAACUUUUCAGCUAGAGUAUGAUAGAGGAAAGCAGAAUUUCUAGUGUAGAGGUGAAAUUCGUAGAUAUUAGAAAGAAUACCAACUGCGAAGGCAGCUUUCUGGAUCAUUACUGACACUGAGGAACGAAAGCAUGGGUAGCGAAGAGGAUUAGAUACCCUCGUACUCCAUGCCGUAAACGAUGUGUGUUAGACGUUGGAAAUUUAUUUUCAGUGUCGCAGGGAAACCGAUAAACACACCGCCUGGGGAGUACGACCGCAAGGUUAAAACUCAAAUGAAUUGACGGGGACCCGCACAAGUAGUGGAGCAUGUGGUUUAAUUCGAAGAUACGCGCAGAACCUUACCAACACUUGACAUGUUCGUCGCGACUCUAAGAGAUUAGAGUUUUCGGUUCGGCCGGACGAAACACAGGUGCUGCAUGGCUGUCGUCAGCUCGUGUCGUGAGAUGUUGGGUUAAGUCCCGCAACGAGCGCAACCCUCACUUUUAGUUGCCAUCAUUAAGUUGGGCACUCUGAAAGAACUGCCAGUGAUAAGCUGGAGGAAGGUGGGGAUGACGUCAAGUCCUCAUGGCCCUUACGUGUUGGGCUACACACGUGCUACAAUGGUAUCUACAACAGGAAGCAAAACGGCAACGUUAAGCAAAUCCCGAAAAGAUACCUCAGUUCGGAUUGCACUCUGCAACUCGAGUGCAUGAAGCUGGAAUUACUAGUAAUCGUGGAUCAGCGUGCCACGGUGAAUGCGUUCCCGGGUCUUGUACACACCGCCCGUCACACCAUGGAAGUUGGUUACACCUUAAGGCAAAUCGUCAACCUUCGGGAGACAUUUGACUACGGUACGAUCAGCAACUGGGGUG
RNAcentral lists this ribosomal RNA (1386 nucleotides) under uncultured Pelagibacterales bacterium. RNAcentral describes it as "bacterial SSU rRNA". It matches the Rfam family "Bacterial small subunit ribosomal RNA". The record is from RNAcentral. Lineage: Bacteria; Pseudomonadati; Pseudomonadota; Alphaproteobacteria; Candidatus Pelagibacterales.